CCUGUGGUUGCUCUUUGUGCUCAAGUCUUCUCUUGACCCUGUUCUUAGAACCAGGCACCCCAACACCUGCUGGAACCUGAGGGUUGAGAAUUUGCUGUUUGAAAGAGGGUGGCAACUGCCCCUUCCCCUGCCUCCCUGACCUCAACUCCUACUCCUCACUGCCCUGGGCUGCCCUCAUGUGGAGUGUGGUGCCCCCUUAUUUCUGCAGGGCUCACUCCCUCACCUCCUGUUCGGAUGUCACUUUCCCAGGGAGGCCUCCUCCAACCUCCCUGUUCGAACCUGCACUUCACUCUAUCUCCCUUCUAUGCUUCAUCGUCCUCCACGCCAUUUACCUCUAAAAUCACUUCUUACCUUUUACUCACUACCUGCACGUCACCUCCUUUAGGUCAACAUCCGUUUCGUUCACUGGUCUGUCCCCACUGCCUAGAACGUGCCUGACACACACAUCCAUCAAUAUUUGUUAAAUGAAGGAAAGGGGCUUCCCUGAUGGCUCAGAUGCUAAAGGGUCUGCCUGCAGUGCGGGAGACCGGCUUCGAUCCCUACCUAGAGAGAAAGACAGGGGGCAGGGACAAAUGGGGGAGGCUAGGCUUUCACCAAGGUCUUUGGGCAGGGCCCACCUCUCACCACCUCUCACCACCCCUCCUCUGGACCCAGUCCGCCCUCUCCCCUACAGGUGGGGGCCCGGGGUUACCGGGCUGGGGAUUUCGUCAACCCCGCUUCCUUGUCGCCCACCUACCCCUGAAGCUAGGGCUGCGGCGAGGGCGGAGGCGGGGGCCCGGAGCUGGGGCCACGCGUCCGGGAUCGGAAGGGGGCCGAGCCUCCCUCGGGCGGGCGGCGGGCAGAGUGGGGAGGGCGCCUCGCGGGGGAGGAGCUGGGGGCAGGGAGCGAGGAGCGGCGGCGGGCGCGGGAAGGGGAGCCUAGAGCCGGAGCCGCAGGGCGCCGGGAGGUGGGCAUCGCGAGGGCGCGGGGCCAGGGCAGGGCCCCCGGGGCGGCGGGGCGGGCGGCGCGCCCCAGGCUCCACUGGGGAGGUCGCGGCGGAGAUGCGGCGGCCGCCGGCGGGGAGACGAAGCGCUGGCCGAAGACGAGGACCCGGGCCGGCGAGCCCGCGGUCCGCACCUGCGUGCCCGGGAGCGGAGACGUUGGAGCUGGGAAGCAUAUGAUACGGCUAGAGUCUGUAUGAUGUGGACUCCAGGGAAGAUGCUACUGGGCUCAGGAGAGGCUGAAAGUGAAAGUGAAGUCACUCAGUCAUGUCCAACUCUGCAACCCCAUGGACUGUAGCCUACCGUGGGAUGUUCCAGGCAAGAAUACUGGAAUGGGUUGUCGUUUCCUUCUCCCAGGAGAGGCUGAGGAAGGGCCUAACUUCGCUUUGAUGACUGCCAGGACUGUGGUGGGCAGGGGAGAAGCUCCCGGGUACGGCUGGUAGUUCUGACAAUGGUGACAUCACUGGCUAAAACGGACAGCGAUGCCUUGUUUCUAGCGAGGGAAGAGACCUUGUCACCUGGAGACCUGAACAUGGUUGGAUCCAUCCUGGAGAAACCAGAGAAGUCAUCAUUUACUAUGUUGGGCAUUAAGAUCCAUGCUCUAAUCAGUUCUCCCUAAACUCUGGCGAGGUGUGAAUUAUCACCUUCAUCACUGGAACUCGGAGAGCUUAAGUAACUUACCCAAUGGUCACAGCAAGCAAGUGGAGCGAGAGGGACUGGGACUUGAGCCUGCCUUACCCAAAAUGUGUGCUUAUUGCCAUUCCCCUCCAGCUCUGUUAUUAUGGUUACAUUUAUCCAGGAUGCUACAAUUACAUCUUAUCAUAUAUAUGAUCUUAUUGGAACACCCCUUUGGGGCAGCAUAGCCAUGCUAAUGUUCCCGUUUGUUACAAACAAACUGAGGGUCAAAGAGAAAUCAUGUCUUGCCCAUGAUUACCCUGCUGAUCAGUGGCAGAGCUGGGCUCAGAACUCAGAAAUUUGGGACUAGGAUGUAUGGAUAGGUAUUAACGUGUCAGAAUCAAGGUAUCAACGCUGGUUCCAAUACUACGAGUGCUGGUCAUGUGCUUUUCUUUUUUAUAAUGUACAAAACUGAUUAAGAAAAAAUAUGAAAAUCUCAAUUCCCUACGAAAGAAUAUAUAUGUGUGUGUGAAUGUAUUUAUAAAACAUACUUACAGAUUAAAGACUAACAACAACCAUGUACUCACUACUGCCUUAAGAAACAUCGCUGAUACCUUUAAAACCCCUCCGUGAUGAUCAAAUCCCUGUUUCCUUUCCCCUCUAGUGGUAAACACUAGCUUUAAUUUUAUUGCUAUUUUUAUUUAUUUAUUUACUACACCGCUUGUGGGAUUUUAAUUCCGUGAUCAGGGAUCAAACCCAUUCCCUUUCUAAUGAAAGCUCUGGACCGCCAGGGAAUUCCCUGAGUUUUAUGUUGAAUGUCUCCUUGCUUUUCCUUAUGGCUUUGCCACAUAUAUUUAUAUCCUUAAACAGUUUGUUUCCUCUGGCAUGUUUUUGUUGUUGGCACUGUUAUGCACGCGCUUUGAUUUACCCAGUUUUGCUGCUCUAGCAGCCGGCACAGGAAUACGCCGUAUUCUGCCAUCCUGCUCCUGAUGGAUGCUUGGGUGCUUUCCAGUUGUUUGCUGUUACAAUCAUUACUACUGUGAUUAUUCUUGUUGCUGUCUGCCGGGGAACACACUGAAAAGUUUCUCUGUCUUAUGUACCUGGGAGUGGAAUUACUGGGUCAUGAGGUGGUCAUUACAGUUUUAGAUUUAUGACAUAAGGCCAAAUUGUUUGCUAACAAGUGUACUCCAAAGUAUACUUAACCAGUGGGAGGUGAUAAUUUCUGUUGCUCCCACCUUUACCAAAUGACAUGACUCAACUAGAUUAAAAUUUUUUACCUACCUGCUGACUGAAGACAGUAGCUCAUUGUUUGAAUUUUUGGUUUUUUACCUUAUUUGAAAUUACAUACGAUUUCUGUUUUUUAUCUUAUUAUUUGAUGGGAGGGUUGACUAUGGACCUAGAGUCUAUAUCUCCAAAGGUAGCUGGAUUGUGGGAAAUUCCCCCAACUUUGUUCAAGUUGGGGAAGAACAGUAGGCAGGAGACAGCCUCAGAAUUGUGUGACUCCCAAGCGGCAGGUAUAAACAGUGGAAUAUUACUCAGCCGUAAAAGGAACAAAACAGUGUCAUUUGCAGAGACAUGGAUGACCUAGAAGCUGUCAUACACAGUGAAGUAGAUCAGAAAGAGAAAAACAGAUAUUGUAUAUUAAUGUUUCUAUGUGGAAUCUACAAAGAUUUGGUACAGAUGAACUUAUUUGCAAAGCAGAAAUAGAGACACAGAGGUAGGGAACAAACUUAUGGAUACCAAGGAGUGCAUGGGGAAGGGAUGAGCUGGGAGAUUGGGAUCGACAUAUAUACAGUACUAUGUAUAAAAUAGAUAGCUAAUGAGAACCUACCGUAUAGCACAGGGAACUCUAUUCAGUGCUCUGUGGCAAGCUAAAUGGGAAGGAAAUCCAAAAAAGAGAAGACAGAUGUAUUCACAUAACUGAUUCCCUUUGCUGUACAGCAGAAACCAACACAACAUUGUAAAGCAGCUAUACACCAAUAAAAAUUAAUUAAAAAAAGAAUCAUGUGGCCUCCUACAAAGCUCCAGUCUGGCAUUCCUGUCCAAGGCAAUCCACACUGUCCUUCUUCCCAAGAUGUCACCCACCAGCCUCCCGGGCCUUUCUGAGCCCACACCUUUCACUGGAAUGAGGUCAUUGGAAUGCCUGGAACCCAAGGAGUGACCCCCUGGGUUUGUGGGGCAAGCACACCAGCCUUCCGUGGGAAAUGACGCCACCUCGCUCACCCAGACCGUCUGGAGGGAAGAAAAUUCCGAACAGUCCAACCUGACUUCACAUUUUCCCUGUGAACCAAAGGAGAGCUUCAGCCAGAGGCCUUUGGGAGUGGAGGAUGGGGCAAGGAGGCUGGUGGGGUAGCGGGAAGGAAUCACCAUUUUCCUGUAUCUCCAGGAGAUCCCAAACCAGCUUCAUGCCUAGAAGCAAACGUGCCGGAAGGCUUUUCUUCCUGGACUGAGGCAGUGUGGAGAGGAGUGGAAAUGUCAGAGCUGACCCUGGACCCGGUUUUUC
This 4098-nucleotide long non-coding RNA is filed under the name Bos grunniens (domestic yak). RNAcentral's name for it is "lncRNA (ENSBGRG00000003962.1)". The record is from RNAcentral. Lineage: Eukaryota; Metazoa; Chordata; Mammalia; Artiodactyla; Bovidae.